RNAcentral lists this ribosomal RNA (406 nucleotides) under uncultured bacterium. RNAcentral describes it as "partial 16S ribosomal RNA". It matches the Rfam family "Bacterial small subunit ribosomal RNA", at positions 30 to 526 of the family's 1533-position model. The record is from RNAcentral.
AUUGAACGCUGGCGGCAGGCCUAACACAUGCAAGUCGAACGAGUGGCGGACGGGUGAGUAAUGUCUGGGAAACUGCCUGAUGGAGGGGGAUCACUACUGGAAACUGUAGCUAAUACCGCAUACCUUCGGAUGGGCCCAUAUGGGAUUAGCUAGUGGGUGGGGUAAAGGCUCACCAAGGCGACGAACCCUAGCUGGUCUGAGAGGAUGACCAGCGACACUGGAACUGAGACACGGUCCAGACGCCUACGGGAGGCAGCAGUGGGGAAUAUUGCACAAUGGGCGCAAGCCUGAUGCAGCCAUGCCGCGUGUAUGAAGAAGGCCUUCGGAUUGUAAAGUACUUUCAGCGGGGAGGCGUUACCCGCAGAAGAAGCACCGGCUAACUCCGUGCCAGCAGCCGCGGUAAUUC